RNAcentral lists this long non-coding RNA (1611 nucleotides) under Homo sapiens (human). RNAcentral describes it as "HSALNT0293906". The stretch from base 71 to 150 matches the Rfam family "mir-760 microRNA precursor family". Lineage: Eukaryota; Metazoa; Chordata; Mammalia; Primates; Hominidae. The record is from RNAcentral.
GCAGCUGCGCGGCGUCCUUGGAGGCAGGUGCUGGCGGCAAGACGAGCUCUCGGAGGAUGCUGCGGCGCGGGGCGCGUCGCCCCCCUCAGUCCACCAGAGCCCGGAUACCUCAGAAAUUCGGCUCUGGGUCUGUGGGGAGCGAAAUGCAACCCAAACCCCGUUUUUCGAACCCCGCGCAAAUAAACACGCACAAGCACGCACACAGACGUCGCGCGGCGGCGCUCGCGCGCAGGUCCAGCCGCGGCUGGGUCGGGCGCGGCGGCCGGGCGCGAGGGAAGAGCCCAGGCCCGAGAGGGGUCGCCGCUUACGUCUCGCAGCCCGAGGGGAGGCCGCUCGGCCUCGGCCGCUCACAGGCGCGACGUAAAGGCCCGGCGUCACCGGCCCGGCUUAACGGUGCAACGGCUGGCCUGGGCCUGCAACUCUGGGGUCCCGGCCGGGCUGGAGCGGCCGCCGGAGAGACCUGGUAGGCGGGGCGCUUGGGGCAGGAAGGGAGCCGGGGAGGGAAAAGCGCGACUGUGAUUCGUACGGCUGGGCCCGGACCGUGAAGGGGACCGGGUUGCGGCUGCCCUCACACCGACCAGGUGGGACCGUCGGACUGCGGCCGCCCUUGGCUCAACUGGGUCGCCGACCUUGUUGAGGGGCGACCACUGCGGGGAGACCGAGAGCCUGCGGCUGGCGUUUGAGGCGGAUGGCAGUGCCCUGAGCGCGGCGGCUGGGUCUCGGUGACACUGACGACGGGAGGCGCGGUCGGAAGAGCGCGGGGCCGUCGCCUCUGGCUUAACAUAGCAGAUGCGCUGAGACUCCAACAGGUGGCUCCGUGGCGCAAUGGAUAGCGCAUUGGACUUCUAGAGGCUGAAGGCAUUCAAAGGUUCCGGGUUCGAGUCCCGGCGGAGUCGUAACGCUUUUUUCCCUCCCCCCUACAAUUUAUUUUCUGCCUCCAUCAUGUCUCUUAUUUUUUUUUUUUGCUAAACGGUUUAACUUCUCUCUCAUUCCCUGCUCUCGCAGUUCACUGCAUUCGGUUCUUGCGGUCCUUUCUUAAGCGGCUCGCAGGGUCCCGAGCCCCUCAGCUCCCCGGGCCUCGGUGGCCCAGGGCCCAGCUCAGCCGACUGGGCAGUCGAUGUAGGUCCUGAGAAGAGCGGCGGCGGCGGCGGCGGCGGCGGCGAAGGAAAAGCGACACUGAAGCGAAGGCUCGCGGUUUCGGCCUAAAGGAAAGUGCAGGGGAGGCCCGGGUCUCGGGUGACACCCCCACGCCUUGAGCGGGACUGUGGUUGCGAGGGAGGGACGAGAAAACACGCCUACGCCCUGCGUGCGCUGUGCUGACUACCUCUCCAGCAUGGAGGCUUCCAGAUGAGCAGACACCCGAAUCCCAGCGGGAGCCCGUCAAAAAUGGAGAUUUCUGCCGUCACUCUGGGACUCUUAAUUCGGUCCGUCUGGGGUGGGGCCCAGGAAUCUGCAUUUCUGAUAAGGUCACCCGCUCCCCUCCCCCAUUAUUCCAGUGCAAAGAGGUCCUAGGCCCAGUGCCCAUCAGCUCCUCAAGACAGGAAUUACUAUAUCUUUUUCUGACAACUGUUAACUUUGUACAAGGUUAGCAAAUAAAUCCAGGAAUGAAUG